GCAAGUCUCCGCACCCCUGUGAGAACGCCCUUAAAUCCCUAAAGGGACCGGGAGCCGGUAUCAGGCUCGAUUAUCAGCCCACGACACCUAGCCACGCCACACCCACAAGGGUAUACAGCAGUGAUUAAUAUUGACCAUGAGCGCAAGCUUGACUCAGUCAGAGUAAACAGAGCCGGCAAAUCUGGUGCCAGCCGCCGCGGCCAUACCACGGGCUCAAACUGAUUACACUCGGCGUAAAGCGUGAUUAAAGUUACCUCAAAUUGCAGUUAAACUGGAACUUAGCAGUAUAACCCUUGAACCCAGGAAGCACAAGAACGAAAGUCACUGCAAAUUAACCUACUUGACCUCACGAC
Molecule: ribosomal RNA, 353 nt
Filed under: Scinax squalirostris (striped snouted treefrog)
Lineage: Eukaryota; Metazoa; Chordata; Amphibia; Anura; Hylidae
Description: partial 12S ribosomal RNA
Source: RNAcentral